UUGAUUUUUAUUAGAUGAUGACUUUGAUAUAAAAAGAUAAGAAGAAUAUCUCACAAAGAUAGAACUUUUAACUUUCAAAGUUGUUUAGAAUGAUCAAGUUGGUCCCACAGCGAUUGACUUUACUCUGUUUUAGCACAGAUGCUUGUUGAAAAAGAUGAUCAUGAAAAUCAUUCUAUGCUAUUCCCACGUCUGGAAAUUGAUAAAGAAGUAUCCAAACUCUAAAAUUCCCAUACGGUGCAUGUUUAUUUAAU
Long non-coding RNA from Juglans microcarpa x Juglans regia, 251 nucleotides. RefSeq lists it as uncharacterized. The transcript has 2 exons. NCBI's taxonomy places the organism in Eukaryota, Viridiplantae, Streptophyta, Magnoliopsida, Fagales, Juglandaceae. The record is from RefSeq and is a predicted model, not a curated record.